AUUGAACGCUGGCGGCAGGCCUAACACAUGCAAGUCGAGCGGAUGAAGGGAGCUUGCUCCUGGAUUCAGCGGCGGACGGGUGAGUAAUGCCUAGGAAUCUGCCUUGUAGUGGGGGAUAACGUCCGGAAACGGGCGCUAAUACCGCAUACGUCAUGAGGGAGAAAGUGGGGGAUCUUCGGACCUCACGCUAUCAGAUGAGCCUAGGUCGGAUUAGCUAGUUGGUGGGGUAAAGGCCUACCAAGGCGACGAUCCGUAACUGGUCUGAGAGGAUGAUCAGUCACACUGGAACUGAGACACGGUCCAGAAUCCUACGGGAGGCAGCAGUGGGGAAGAUUGGACAAUGGGCGAAAGCCUGAUCCAGCCAUGCCGCGUGUGUGAAGAAGGUCUUCGGAUUGUAAAGCACUUUAAGUUGGGAGGAAGGGCAGUAAGUUAAUACCUUGCUGUUUUGACGUUACCAACAGAAUAAGCACCGGCUAACUUCGUG
This 484-nucleotide ribosomal RNA is filed under the name uncultured bacterium. RNAcentral's name for it is "partial 16S ribosomal RNA". It matches the Rfam family "Bacterial small subunit ribosomal RNA", at positions 30 to 507 of the family's 1533-position model. The record is from RNAcentral.